Molecule: non-coding RNA, 107 nt
Organism: Staphylotrichum tortipilum
Lineage: Eukaryota; Fungi; Ascomycota; Sordariomycetes; Sordariales; Chaetomiaceae
Source: the annotation of a GenBank genome assembly
GGGAGCUUGGCUCAGUUGGAAGAGCGCAGGUCUCAUACGUCUGUAUGACCCGGCUUCAAAAAGUCUGGGAUAUCCUGAGGUCGUGAGUUCGAGCCUCACAGUUCCCA